UCGGGAGGAACACCAGUGGCGAAGGCGGCCUCCUGGCUUGUACCUGACUCUGAAACGCGAAAGCAUGGGUAGCAAACAGGAUUAGAAACCCUGGUAGUCCAUGCCAUAAACGAUGUCAACUGGGUGUCGGCGAAGUAAAAUUUGUCGGUGCCGAAGCUAACGCGUUAAGUUGACCGCCUGAGGACUACGAUCGCAAGAUUAAAACUCAAAGGAAUUGACGGGGACCCGCACAGGCAGCGGAGCGUGUGGUUUAAUUCGAGGCUACGCGAAGAACCUUACCAGGGUUUGACAUUCAUGUAGUAGGGAAGCGAAAGCGGACCGACCCUUCGGGGAGCAUGAACAGGUGAUGCAUGGCUGUCGUCAGCUCGUGCCGUGAGGUGUUCGGUUAAGUCCGUUAACGAGCGCAACCCUUGUCGCAUGUUACACGUGUCAUGCGAGACUGCCGGUGUCAAACCGGAGGAAGGUGGGGACGACGUCAAGUCGGCAUGUCCUUUAUAUUCUGGGCUACACACACGCUACAAUGGCCGGGACAAUGGGUUGCCAAGCCGCGAGGCGGAGCCAAUCCUCAAACCCGGUCUCAGUUUGGAUUGUAGGCUGCAACUCGCUACAUGAAGU
This 615-nucleotide ribosomal RNA is filed under the name uncultured Crater Lake bacterium CL500-86. Its description in RNAcentral is "bacterial SSU rRNA". It matches the Rfam family "Bacterial small subunit ribosomal RNA", at positions 697 to 1326 of the family's 1533-position model. The record is from RNAcentral.